RNAcentral lists this ribosomal RNA (774 nucleotides) under uncultured Neocallimastigales. RNAcentral describes it as "partial large subunit ribosomal RNA". It matches the Rfam family "Eukaryotic large subunit ribosomal RNA", at positions 26 to 639 of the family's 3401-position model. The record is from RNAcentral. Lineage: Eukaryota; Fungi; Neocallimastigomycota; Neocallimastigomycetes; Neocallimastigales.
CGCAUCUGUGCAUGCAGCAUAUCAAUAAGCGGAGGAAAAGAAACUAACAAGGAUUCCCUUAGUAACGGCGAGUGAAGCGGGAAGAGCUCAAAUUUGAAAUCUACAAGGUUUUACCUUGACGAAUUGUAGUUUAAAGAAGUGUUUUCUGUUGAAGUUUUGGUAAAAGUUCUUUGGAAUAGGACAUCAUAGAGGGUGAGAAUCCCGUAUUUGACCAUUAUUUUCAGCUGUGUGAUACACUUUCAAAGAGUCGGAUUGUUUGGGAAUGCAGUCCAAAAUGGGUGGUAAAUUUCAUCUAAAGCUAAAUAUUGGCGAGAGACCGAUAGCGAACAAGUACCGUGAGGGAAAGAUGAAAAGAACUUUGAAAAGAGAGUUAAACAGUACGUGAAAUUGUCAAAAGGGAAGCGUUUGACACCAGUGUUGUUUUCUCGAAAAUCAAUUAAAAAGAGUUAGAUUUUGUUGUGUAUUGACCUUAACAGCUUGCAUUUCAAUUUUCUUGCUUUUUUUAAUGCACUUUUCGUUUAACAAGUCAACAUCAGUUUCUUUUGUUGUAAAAAGGUCAUUGGAAGGUGGCUUUCUUUUCGGAGAAAGUGUUUAUAGCCUUUGACUCCUGCAAUCGGAGAGACUGAGGUCUGCAGCGUAGAUCCUUCGGGGUUAGAUACAUUUGUGCUAAGUUAUAGCUUUUUAUAGACAACUUGUUGACUAUGAUUAGUCUUGUAGCUUACUCGCUUAUGCUAUUUUACCUACGCUUAGGAUGUUGACGCGCGUGUGUGCGUG